Molecule: ribosomal RNA, 255 nt
Filed under: uncultured Actinomycetes bacterium
Lineage: Bacteria; Bacillati; Actinomycetota; Actinomycetes
Description: uncultured actinobacterium partial 16S ribosomal RNA
Rfam family: Bacterial small subunit ribosomal RNA
Source: RNAcentral
GACGAACGCUGGCGGCGCGCUUAACACAUGCAAGUCGAGCGAGAACCAGGACUUCGGUCCUGGGGACAGCGGCGAACGGGUGAGUAACACGUGGAUAACCUGCCCUCGGCACCGGGAUAGCCCGGGGAAACUCGGAUUAAUACCGGAUAGCCCUUCCGACUCUCGAGUCGGUCCGAAAAGGUAGCUUCGGCCUCUGGCCGAGGAUGGGUCCGCGGCGGAUUAGCUUGUUGGUGGGGUAAUGGCCUACCAAGGCUU